Molecule: ribosomal RNA, 465 nt
Filed under: uncultured bacterium
Lineage: Bacteria
Description: bacterial SSU rRNA
Rfam family: Bacterial small subunit ribosomal RNA
Source: RNAcentral
CCUACGGGGUGCACCAGUGGGGAAUAUUGCACAAUGGGCGCAAGCCUGAUGCAGCCAUGCCGCGUGUAUGAAGAAGGCCUUCGGGUUGUAAAGUACUUUCAGCGAGGAGGAAGGCAUUAAGGUUAAUAACCUUAGUGAUUGACGUUACUCGCAGAAGAAGCACCGGCUAACUCCGUGCCAGCAGCCGCGGUAAUACGGAGGGUGCAAGCGUUAAUCGGAAUUACUGGGCGUAAAGCGCACGCAGGCGGUCUGUCAAGUCGGAUGUGAAAUCCCCGGGCUCAACCUGGGAACUGCAUCCGAAACUGGCAGGCUAGAGUCUUGUAGAGGGGGGUAGAAUUCCAGGUGUAGCGGUGAAAUGCGUAGAGAUCUGGAGGAAUACCGGUGGCGAAGGCGGCCCCCUGGACAAAGACUGACGCUCAGGUGCGAAAGCGUGGGGAGCAAACAGGAUUAGAUACCCCCGUAGUC